UUUCCGGUUGAUCCUGCCGGACCCCACUGCUAUCGGGAUAGGACUAAGACAUGCUAGUCAAGCGCUCGCCAGCCAAAGGUGAGUGCGGCGCACAGCUCAGUAACACGUGGCUAACCUGCCCUCGGGACGGGGACACCCCCGGGAAACUGGGGCUAAUCCCCGAUAGGUGAAGAACUCUGGAAUGAGUCUCCGCCUAAAAGGCGCUUGCGCUAUGCUCGUAGGCGUCGCCCAAGGAUGGGGCCGCGUCCGAUCAGGUUGUUGGUGAGGUAACGGCUCACCAAGCCUUUUACCGGUGCGGGCCGUGGGAGCGGGAGCCCGGAGAUGGGCACUGAGACAAGGGCCCAGGCCCUACGGGGCGCAGCAGUCGCGAAAACUUUGCAAUACACGAAAGUGUGACAGGGCUAUCCCGAGUGCCAUCCGCUGAGGAAGGCUUUUACCCAGUGUAGAUAGCUGGGAGAAUAAGGAGAGGGCAAGACUGGUGUCAGCCGCCGCGGUAAUACCAGCUCUCCGAGUGGUGUGGAUGUUUAUUGGGCCUAAAGCAUCCGUAGCUGGCUGGGCAAGUCCCCUGUUAAAUCCACCGAUUCAAUCGUUGGAGUGCGGGGGAUACUGCUCGGCUAGGGGACGGGAGAGGCCGACGGUAUUUUCGGGGUAGGGGUGAAAUCCUAUAAUCCCGGGAAGACCACCAGUGGCGAAGGCUGUCGGCUAGAACGCGCCCGACGGUGAGGGAUGAAAGCUGGGGGAGCGAACCGGAUUAGAUACCCGGGUAGUCCCAGCUGUAGACGAUGCAGGCUAGGUGUUUGGGCGGCCACGAGCCGCUCUAGUGCCGCAGGGAAGUCGUUAAGCCUGCCGCCUGGGGAGUACGGCCGCAAGGCUGAAACUUAAAGGAAUUGGCGGGGGAGCACCACAAGGGGUGAAGCUUGCGGUUUAAUUGGAGUCAACGCCGGG
Molecule: ribosomal RNA, 945 nt
Filed under: uncultured archaeon
Lineage: Archaea
Description: bacterial SSU rRNA
Rfam family: Archaeal small subunit ribosomal RNA
Source: RNAcentral